ACUAGGAUUUAUCCUGGGAUCACAAUGGGCUUGAUUUGCAAACUUUAUUAGCGAGGAACAAUUGGAGGGCAAGUCUGGUGCCAGCAGCCGCGGUAAUUCCAGCUCCAAUAGUGUAUAUUAAUGUUCCUGCAGCUAUUCGAUGCUCGUAGUUGGAUUUCUGGGGGCUGAUUCUGGACGGCGGCUAUGGCCGCCACCGGUUUCUUCCUUCAUCCACCUGUUAACGUUGUUCGAGAUUCAUUUCUCGGCUUCGGGCUCAGGUAUUUUACCCUUACUAUAUUCAUUUAUUUAUCUUCUUUUUGAGCAAAUUAUAGUGUUUCAGGCAGGCGUGCGCCGGAAUACUUUAGCAUGGAAUAAUCGAAUUGGACUGUGUUCCUUAUUUGUUGGUUUGAUGGGCACAGAAUGGUUAAUAGGGAUAGUAAUUUUCAGGGGAGGCAUUAGUAUUUAAUUUCCAGAGGUGAAAUUCUUUGAAAUAUUAAAGACUAACUUAUGCGAAAGCAUUUAUUUUGCCAAUAAUGUUUUCAUUAAUCAUUGAACGAAAGUUAGGGGAUCAAAGACGAUCAGAUACCGUCCUAGUCUUAACCAUAAACGUUGCCGACUAGGGAUCGGAGGGCGUGCACAUUCCGCCUUCGGCACCUUACGAGAAAUCAAAGUCUUUUGGGUUCUGGGGGUAGUAUGGUCGCAAGGCUGAAACUUAAAGGAAUUGACGGAAGGGCACCACCAGGAGUGGAGCUUGCGGCUCAAUUUGACUCAACACGGGAAAUCUUACCAGGUCCAGACAUAGCGAGGAUUGACAGAUUGAUAGCUCUUUCUUGAUUCUAUGGGUAUUUUUGGUGGUGCAUGGCCGUUCUUAGUUGGUGGAGUGAUUUGUCUGGUUAAUUCCGUUAAACGAACGAGACCUCAGCCUGCUAAAUAGUUACUUGUCUUUCUUUUACGAGACAUGUUAACUUCUUAGAGGGACGUUGUGUGCAACCACAAGGAAGUUGAGGCAAUAACAGGUCUGUGAUGCCCCUAGAUGUCCUGGGCCGCACGCGUGCUACACUGAUACGUACAACGAGGUAUAUGUAUUUAUACAUCGAUGCUGCUCCGAAAUAGACAAAGCUAAAUCUUCUAAAAUACGUAUCGUGCUGCGGAUAGAUCGUUGAAAUUAUGAAUCUUGAAGGUGGAAUUCCUAGUAAGCGCGGGUCAUCAACCCGCGUUGAUUACGUCCCUGCCCUUUGUACACACCGCCCGUCGCUCCUACCAAUUUCGAGUGGCUCGGUGAACCUCUUUGGACUGUCGAGCAAUCGCGAAAUUAGAGUGAACCUGGUCAC
Molecule: ribosomal RNA, 1310 nt
Filed under: metagenome
Description: SSU rRNA
Rfam family: Eukaryotic small subunit ribosomal RNA
Source: RNAcentral